RNAcentral lists this long non-coding RNA (901 nucleotides) under Ornithorhynchus anatinus (platypus). RNAcentral's name for it is "lncRNA (ENSOANG00000040517.1)". Lineage: Eukaryota; Metazoa; Chordata; Mammalia; Monotremata; Ornithorhynchidae. The record is from RNAcentral.
AUCCAAGUGAGGGAAUGGAGUACCAAGCUAAAUUACUCAAAUUUAAUCUUGACUUUUUAUGCCUGAGCCAUAAAGUGCAGAAAUGAGAUGAAGCUGUUUUGCUUUUUCACUCAAAUGAAGAAGUAUUUUACAUGGAGUGGUCUGACCGUUUCUAGCUGCAGGGGUUCUGCCAGGAAAGCAGAGGCCGGCUUCACCCCCAGCACUGUCCUGGGGUCUUCCGCCCCCUCCCACAAAUGAAAAGAACAGCGCAACGCCUGUAGGAGUUGACCCCGAAGACAGCAGCGGGAAAAUCACAGAUGUCCCCAGCCAGUGGAGUGAAGUCAGUCCAGCCGAGUUUGGCUGUUUCACCUCGAAGAUGAUCGAGCGGUCCCUAAAGGCCGAAGCGGAACGAGCCAGUCACCAGGCAGGCCUCCUCAGACUCUGGGAGAAAGCACUCCAGGAGAAAACCCGGGCGGAGCUGGCAUGGCUGGAGGACCAGAGAGUGUAAGACACAGACGGCUCUUCCAACACCGCUUUCCUUUAAGUGGGAGAACAUUUCUCAACUUCUGCCCCUCUGUCUGCCUGAUAUAUUGACAUAGUAAGAAUUCUGUCUCUGGACUCUGCACCAUGCUUAGCUCCUGGCCUUCAACAAAGUACGUUAAUGAGGGAAAUUCCGACAUUCCUAAAGGUGAAGCAAAAAUUUAGAGGGACAUCCACUGCUAUUUUUUCCCAAAAGAAAAAUUGAUAGAUGAAAAAUGAUUCACUAAGCCUUAAUAAAACUCUUAACCCUUGCCGAGAAGCAUUCUUCUUUUAAAUUGGAAUCAACUAUAGAACAACAUGGCCUGGGGGAAAGAGCAUGAGCCCCGAGAGUCAGAGGACCUGGGGGUUCUGAUCCCUGCUCCACCACUUGGGGUGAGCAGAG